RNAcentral lists this unclassified non-coding RNA (375 nucleotides) under soil metagenome. RNAcentral's name for it is "partial contains 5.8S ribosomal RNA, internal transcribed spacer 2, and large subunit ribosomal RNA". The stretch from base 1 to 120 matches the Rfam family "5.8S ribosomal RNA", at positions 35 to 154 of the family's 154-position model. The record is from RNAcentral.
GAUGAAGAACGCAUCGAAAUGCGAUAAGUAAUGUGAAUUGCAGAAUUCAGUGAAUCAUCGAAUCUUUGAACGCACAUUGCGCCCGCCAGUAUUCUGGCGGGCAUGCCUGUUCGAGCGUCAUUUCAACCCUCAAGACCCCUUCGGGGGACUUGGUGUUGGGGACCGGCACAGGGGCCUGCCUGCUUGUCUUGCAGCGCCCUCGCCGCCCCCGAAAUGAAUUGGCGGCCUCGUCGCGGCCUCCCCUGCGUAGUAGCACAAACCUCGCAACGGGAACGUGACGGCGGCCACUGCCGUAAAACAACCCAAUUUUAUUAGAGUUGACCUCGAAUCAGGUAGGAAUACCCGCUGAACUUAAGCAUAUCAAUAAGCGGAGGA